Molecule: ribosomal RNA, 584 nt
Filed under: uncultured bacterium
Lineage: Bacteria
Description: partial 16S ribosomal RNA
Rfam family: Bacterial small subunit ribosomal RNA
Source: RNAcentral
UGGGGAAUUUUGGACAAUGGGCGAAAGCCUGAUCCAGCAAUGCCGCGUGUGUGAAGAAGGCCUUCGGGUUGUAAAGCACUUUUGUCCGGAAAGAAAUCCUUGGCUCUAAUACAGUCGGGGGAUGACGGUACCGGAAGAAUAAGCACCGGCUAACUACGUGCCAGCAGCCGCGGUAAUACGUAGGGUGCAAGCGUUAAUCGGAAUUACUGGGCGUAAAGCGUGCGCAGGCGGUUUGCUAAGACCGAUGUGAAAUCCCCGGGCUCAACCUGGGAACUGCAUUGGUGACUGGCAGGCUAGAGUAUGGCAGAGGGGGGUAGAAUUCCACGUGUAGCAGUGAAAUGCGUAGAGAUGUGGAGGAAUACCGAUGGCGAAGGCAGCCCCCUGGGCCAAUACUGACGCUCAUGCACGAAAGCGUGGGGAGCAGACAGGAUUAGAUACCCUGGUAGUCCACGCCCUAAACGAUGUCAACUAGUUGUUGGGGAUUCAUUUCCUUAGUAACGUAGCUAACGCGUGAAGUUGACCGCCUGGGGAGUACGGUCGCAAGAUUAAAACUUAAAGGAAUUAACGGGGUCAUAGCUGUUUCC